Cyprinus carpio (common carp) is the source of this 400-nucleotide long non-coding RNA. NCBI's taxonomy places the organism in Eukaryota, Metazoa, Chordata, Actinopteri, Cypriniformes, Cyprinidae. The record is from Ensembl.
AUGAAGAGGGCAUAUGUCUUCAUAAUCAAACUGGAUGAUGUGCCCCAGCCCCAGCCCCAGCAAGACCAGCCCCUGCCCCUAGACCAGCUAAUCCCACAAGUCCAGCCCACCCCAACAGACCAGCAAAUUAUUACACUUGAACUAUUUACGAUCGACUCUCAGGCUCAGCAGCAUGUGGAGCCUCUACCACCCAGGAAAAGACAAACCCCACUAUCCACCCCGGGCCUACCAUCCACCCCAGGCCAAGGCAAACGAGCCCCACCAUCCAUCCAACCUCAACUAAAGAAAAGACAAACCACAGGUACAGGAGCCACACAAGCCCCACCCGCUACCCUGGCCAAAAAGAAGAAAACAAAAAGAUGCAAAUGCAGUCAACAGACAAUUUAUCCAUACGAUAAAA